RNAcentral lists this ribosomal RNA (468 nucleotides) under uncultured bacterium. RNAcentral describes it as "partial 16S ribosomal RNA". It matches the Rfam family "Bacterial small subunit ribosomal RNA", at positions 28 to 507 of the family's 1533-position model. The record is from RNAcentral.
GACGAACGCUGGCGGCGUGCUUAACACAUGCAAGUCGAACGGAAGGGCCCUGAUUUUGUGGGGUGCCGGGGUGGCGAUGGGGUGCGUAACACGUGAGUAACCUGCCCUAGACUUUGGGGUAAGUUAAGGAAGCUAGGGCUACUCCAGGAUCGCAGCUCCCGCUGCAUGGUGGGGGUUGGAACGUUUCAGCGGGCGGGGAUGGAUUGGCGGCUUAUCAGCUAGUUGGUGGGGUAGUGGCAUACCAAGCCUUUGACGGGUACCCGGCAGGAGAGGGUGACCGGCCACAUGGGGACUGAGAGACGGCCCAGACUCCAACGGUAGGCAGCAGUGGGAAAUAUGGCACAAUGGGCGGAAGCCUGAUGCAGCGACGCCGGGGUCGUGAUGACGGCCUUCGGGGUAUAAACCGCAUUCGGCUGAGACGCAGCGGGAGUGACGGUAAUGGGUAAAGAAGCACCGGCUAACUACGUG